RNAcentral lists this ribosomal RNA (493 nucleotides) under uncultured bacterium. RNAcentral's name for it is "partial 16S ribosomal RNA". It matches the Rfam family "Bacterial small subunit ribosomal RNA", at positions 29 to 523 of the family's 1533-position model. The record is from RNAcentral.
AUUGAACGCUGGCGGCAUGCUUUACGCAUGCAAGUCGAACGGUAACAGGUUAAGCUGACGAGUGGCGAACGGGUGAGUAAUGCAUCGGAACGUGCCCGGUCGUGGGGGAUAACGCAGCGAAAGCUGCGCUAAUACCGCAUACGAUCUGAGGAUGAAAGCCGGGGACCGUAAGGCCUCGCGCGAUCGGAGCGGCCGAUGUCAGAUUAGGUAGUGGGUGGGGUAAAGGCUCACCAAGCCGACGAUCUGUAGCUGGUCUGAGAGGACGACCAGCCACACUGGGACUGAGACACGGCCCAGACUCCUACGGGAGGCAGCAGUGGGGAAUUUUGGACAAUGGGCGCAAGCCUGAUCCAGCAAUGCCGCGUGCAGGAAGAAGGCCUUCGGGUUGUAAACUGCUUUUGUACGGAGCGAAAAGGCUCUCUCUAAUACAGGGGGCUCAUGACGGUACCGUAAGAAUAAGCACCGGCUAACUACGUGCCAGCCGCCGCGGUAA